RNAcentral lists this ribosomal RNA (253 nucleotides) under uncultured bacterium. Its description in RNAcentral is "partial 16S ribosomal RNA". It matches the Rfam family "Bacterial small subunit ribosomal RNA", at positions 524 to 776 of the family's 1533-position model. The record is from RNAcentral.
UACGUAGGGUGCAGGCGUUAAUCGGAAUUACUGGGCGUAAAGCGUGCGCAGGCGGUUUGCUAAGACAGGUGUGAAAUCCCCGGGCUUAACCUGGGAACUGCGCUUGUUACUGGCAAGCUAGAGUGUGGCAGAGGGGGGUGGAAUUCCAGGUGUAGCAGUGAAAUGCGUAGAGAUCUGGAGGAACACCGGUGGCGAAGGCAGCCCCCUGGGCUAACACUGACGCUCAUGCACGAAAGCGUGGGGAGCAAACAGG